RNAcentral lists this ribosomal RNA (391 nucleotides) under Salmonella enterica subsp. enterica serovar Anatum. RNAcentral's name for it is "bacterial SSU rRNA". It matches the Rfam family "Bacterial small subunit ribosomal RNA", at positions 997 to 1388 of the family's 1533-position model. The record is from RNAcentral. Lineage: Bacteria; Pseudomonadati; Pseudomonadota; Gammaproteobacteria; Enterobacterales; Enterobacteriaceae.
AAUCCAGAGAUGGAUUUGUGCCUUCGGGAACUGUGAGACAGGUGCUGCAUGGCUGUCGUCAGCUCGUGUUGUGAAAUGUUGGGUUAAGUCCCGCAACGAGCGCAACCCUUAUCCUUUGUUGCCAGCGGUUAGGCCGGGAACUCAAAGGAGACUGCCAGUGAUAAACUGGAGGAAGGUGGGGAUGACGUCAAGUCAUCAUGGCCCUUACGACCAGGGCUACACACGUGCUACAAUGGCGCAUACAAAGAGAAGCGACCUCGCGAGAGCAAGCGGACCUCAUAAAGUGCGUCGUAGUCCGGAUUGGAGUCUGCAACUCGACUCCAUGAAGUCGGAAUCGCUAGUAAUCGUGGAUCAGAAUGCCACGGUGAAUACGUUCCCGGGCCUUGUACAC